This 450-nucleotide ribosomal RNA is filed under the name uncultured bacterium. RNAcentral describes it as "partial 16S ribosomal RNA". It matches the Rfam family "Bacterial small subunit ribosomal RNA", at positions 338 to 795 of the family's 1533-position model. The record is from RNAcentral.
CCUACGGGUGGCUGCAGUGGGGAAUUUUGGACAAUGGGGGCAACCCUGAUCCAGCCAUGCCGCGUGCGGGAAGAAGGCCUUCGGGUUGUAAACCGCUUUCGGCCGGAACGAAAUCGCCGGGGAGAACAUCCCCGGUGGAUGACGGUACCGGAAGAAGAAGCACCGGCUAACUACGUGCCAGCAGCCGCGGUCAUACGUAGGGUGCGAGCGUGGAGUGGAAUUACCGCGCGUGGUUCGCUAAGACGCGGUUGAAAUCCCCGGGCUUAACCUGGGAACUGCGUUUGUGACUGGCGGGCUGGAGUGCGGAAGAGGGAGGUGGAAUUCCACGUGUAGCAGUGAAAUGCGUAGAGAUGUGGAGGAACACCGAUGGCGAAGGCAGCCUCCUGGUCUAGCACUGACGCUCAUGCACGAAAGCGUGGGGAGCAAACAGGAUUAGAUACCCUAGUAGUC